UGGUUCUGGCAUCGAUGAAGAACGCAGCGAAAUGCGAUAAGUAAUGCGAAUUGCAGAAUUCAGUGAGUCAUCGAAUCUUUGAACGCAUAUUGCGCCCUUUGGCAUUCCGAAGGGCAUGCCUGUUCGAGCGUCAUUAUCAACCCUCAAGCUCAGCUUGUAGUUGGAUAUGUCAUUUAUUGAGAUGACUUGUCCCAAAGACAUUGGCAGCGUCUUUUGACCCUUGAUGCAACGAGCUUUUUAAGCAAGCAUUAAAGUAGUCAAUCGAUUCUUGACCUAAAAUUUAUUUCUAAAAGGUUGACCUCGGAUCAGGUAGGAAUACCCGCUGA
This 326-nucleotide unclassified non-coding RNA is filed under the name uncultured fungus. Its description in RNAcentral is "partial contains 5.8S ribosomal RNA and internal transcribed spacer 2". The stretch from base 1 to 133 matches the Rfam family "5.8S ribosomal RNA", at positions 22 to 154 of the family's 154-position model. The record is from RNAcentral. Lineage: Eukaryota; Fungi.